AUUGAUUCAGUCCCCUCUCAAAGAGGGAUUGUACUGUUAACUCUUGUGUUUGUGUUAUUUGGGAAGGUUGGUCGGGGGGAGUCUUGAUUUUUCUCGAGGCUUGCUCUUUUCCUGGUGCCCCAUUAAGAUUUUCUGCUUCUGUUGUGUUUUUGGAAGAAUAUAUACAGCCCUGCUCUGGGACACACCUCCAUUGGAUUUAAAAGACAGUCCUCGUCAGCACUGACUUUCAGCUAUGGAAUCGACGGUUGAUGAUGAAGCGCCGGCCGUGUAAAUGAAGAUCGGGUGAGGAGCAGGACGAUGCCCAAGGGUGGGUGCCCUAAAGCACCACAGCAGGAAGAGCUUCCCCUCAGCAGCGACAUGGUGGAGAAGCAGACUGGGAAAAAGGAUAAAGAUAAAGUUUCUCUAACCAAGACCCCAAAACUGGAGCGUGGCGAUGGCGGGAAGGAGGUGAGGGAGCGAGCCAGCAAGCGGAAGCUGCCCUUCACCGCGGGCGCCAAUGGGGAGCAGAAGGACUCGGACACAGAUGCCUCCAGCCCAGUCCCUGUUGUGGUGCUGCAAGGCUGGUACGCUCCU
RNAcentral lists this long non-coding RNA (573 nucleotides) under Homo sapiens (human). RNAcentral describes it as "non-protein coding lnc-SLC22A31-7:3". Lineage: Eukaryota; Metazoa; Chordata; Mammalia; Primates; Hominidae. The record is from RNAcentral.